AUCACAGCGUUCACCUCAUAGCGCACCAAUCCUUCGCCUUUUUACUAAAGGUUGCCGUGAAUGGGACGCAUCAAUGUGACUCACACAAUUUUUUGGGAGCUCUGAGCUCC
RNAcentral lists this small nuclear RNA (110 nucleotides) under Symbiodinium microadriaticum. RNAcentral's name for it is "U5 spliceosomal RNA". It matches the Rfam family "U5 spliceosomal RNA". Rfam says of the family: U5 RNA is a component of both types of known spliceosome. The precise function of this molecule is unknown, though it is known that the 5' loop is required for splice site selection and p220 binding, and that both the 3' stem-loop and the Sm site are important for Sm protein binding and cap methylation. The record is from Rfam by way of RNAcentral. Lineage: Eukaryota; Dinophyceae; Suessiales; Symbiodiniaceae.